GAGGGGUCAAUUCCAUCUUGACUCACACACCAACUUGAUAAGUACUUGAUUGCACUCAAUAUCCUUCUAUUAUUGAAUUAGAAACUCAGAUGGUCUGAUAUUAAAGUACAGUGAGUUACAUACAAAUCACCAUGGUGGUCUCAGAUUUGAAGAACACUUAUACCCAUGUGCUUCAUAAGCUACUCUUGAUAGCAGAGUGCUCGACAAA
Molecule: long non-coding RNA, 208 nt
Filed under: Elaeis guineensis (African oil palm)
Lineage: Eukaryota; Viridiplantae; Streptophyta; Magnoliopsida; Arecales; Arecaceae
Description: long non-coding RNA (EGUI_LNC064505)
Source: RNAcentral